This 568-nucleotide small RNA is filed under the name Arabidopsis thaliana (thale cress). RNAcentral describes it as "ATSL031110". Lineage: Eukaryota; Viridiplantae; Streptophyta; Magnoliopsida; Brassicales; Brassicaceae. The record is from RNAcentral.
AUACUUUACUAAGACAUAUUUACAAAUGAUAGAUAGAGUGCAUCGAUAGACAGUUGUAGAUGAUAAGAAAUACUUCCAUUGGAGAUAACCCAACUUUGGGAUUAUGUGUGGGAGAUGAUUGAGUAUGUUGGUCAAGUUUGGAACUGGUAUCAAAUACUAGAUCACCAACAAAAAUUGAUGCCUCCAAUAAGAAGAUUAUUUAAAUAUCUAUCCAAAAAAUACUGUCCAAUAUUACAAGGACUGUAAAUCAUAAAGAUAAUUUAGUGUACAUGUAGACCUUCAUUUGUUCAUUAGAAUUUUUUUUCAGUUUGGGGAUCUUUCAAUGAUUGGGAUGCAGGAAGCCUCUCCAAAAUGUUCUGAUUGAGUUGAAGUAGAAAUGAAGAUGGUCAGAAAAACCAUAAGAAACACGACCUUCAAUAAGGAAAAAAUGUAAGAAAGUAUCCAAAAAAUCAUGUCCAACGUAACAAGGAGCAGACGAUUAAUAAAAUUUGGUACCCCAUUGUAGGUUUGUUGACUUGGAUGUUCCCACUUGUAUCGAAAAUAGGAUCUGACACAAUGUUCAUAACCU